CAGUCGCCGCGGGAAUACGUAGGUGGCAAGCGUCGUCCGGAAUUAAUGGGCGUAAAGCGCGCGCAGGCGGAUCGGUUAGUCUGUCUUAAAAGUUCGGGGCUUAACCCCGUGAUGGGAUGGAAACUGCUGAUCUAGAGUAUCGGAGAGGAAAGUGGAAUUCCUAGUGUAGCGGUGAAAUGCGUAGAUAUUAGGAAGAACACCAGUGGCGAAGGCGACUUUCUGGACGAAAACUGACGCUGAGGCGCGAAAGCCAGGGGAGCGAACGGGAUUAGAUACCCCAGUAGUCCCUGUCUCUUAUACA
RNAcentral lists this ribosomal RNA (301 nucleotides) under uncultured bacterium. Its description in RNAcentral is "partial 16S ribosomal RNA". It matches the Rfam family "Bacterial small subunit ribosomal RNA", at positions 509 to 809 of the family's 1533-position model. The record is from RNAcentral.